GGGUUGUGAGGUUAAGCGACUAAGCGUACACGGUGGAUGCCCUGGCAGUCAGAGGCGAUGAAGGACGUGCUAAUCUGCGAUAAGCGUCGGUAAGGUGAUAUGAACCGUUAUAACCGGCGAUUUCCGAAUGGGGAAACCCAGUGUGUUUCGACACACUAUCAUUAACUGAAUCCAUAGGUUAAUGAGGCGAACCGGGGGAACUGAAACAUCUAAGUACCCCGAGGAAAAGAAAUCAACCGAGAUUCCCCCAGUAGCGGCGAGCGAACGGGGAGCAGCCCAGAGCCUGAAUCAGUGUGUGUGUUAGUGGAAGCGUCUGGAAAGGCGCGCGAUACAGGGUGACAGCCCCGUACACAAAAAUGCACAUGCUGUGAGCUCGAUGAGUAGGGCGGGACACGUGGUAUCCUGUCUGAAUAUGGGGGGACCAUCCUCCAAGGCUAAAUACUCCUGACUGACCGAUAGUGAACCAGUACCGUGAGGGAAAGGCGAAAAGAACCCCGGCGAGGGGAGUGAAAAAGAACCUGAAACCGUGUACGUACAAGCAGUGGGAGCACGCUUAGGCGUGUGACUGCGUACCUUUUGUAUAAUGGGUCAGCGACUUAUAUUCUGUAGCAAGGUUAACCGAAUAGGGGAGCCGAAGGGAAACCGAGUCUUAACUGGGCGUUAAGUUGCAGGGUAUAGACCCGAAACCCGGUGAUCUAGCCAUGGGCAGGUUGAAGGUUGGGUAACACUAACUGGAGGACCGAACCGACUAAUGUUGAAAAAUUAGCGGAUGACUUGUGGCUGGGGGUGAAAGGCCAAUCAAACCGGGAGAUAGCUGGUUCUCCCCGAAAGCUAUUUAGGUAGCGCCUCGUGAAUUCAUCUCCGGGGGUAGAGCACUGUUUCGGCAAGGGGGUCAUCCCGACUUACCAACCCGAUGCAAACUGCGAAUACCGGAGAAUGUUAUCACGGGAGACACACGGCGGGUGCUAACGUCCGUCGUGAAGAGGGAAACAACCCAGACCGCCAGCUAAGGUCCCAAAGUCAUGGUUAAGUGGGAAACGAUGUGGGAAGGCCCAGACAGCCAGGAUGUUGGCUUAGAAGCAGCCAUCAUUUAAAGAAAGCGUAAUAGCUCACUGGUCGAGUCGGCCUGCGCGGAAGAUGUAACGGGGCUAAACCAUGCACCGAAGCUGCGGCAGCGACGCUUAUGCGUUGUUGGGUAGGGGAGCGUUCUGUAAGCCUGUGAAGGUGUGCUGUGAGGCAUGCUGGAGGUAUCAGAAGUGCGAAUGCUGACAUAAGUAACGAUAAAGCGGGUGAAAAGCCCGCUCGCCGGAAGACCAAGGGUUCCUGUCCAACGUUAAUCGGGGCAGGGUGAGUCGACCCCUAAGGCGAGGCCGAAAGGCGUAGUCGAUGGGAAACAGGUUAAUAUUCCUGUACUUGGUGUUACUGCGAAGGGGGGACGGAGAAGGCUAUGUUGGCCGGGCGACGGUUGUCCCGGUUUAAGCGUGUAGGCUGGUUUUCCAGGCAAAUCCGGAAAAUCAAGGCUGAGGCGUGAUGACGAGGCACUACGGUGCUGAAGCGACAAAUGCCCUGCUUCCAGGAAAAGCCUCUAAGCAUCAGGUAACAUCAAAUCGUACCCCAAACCGACACAGGUGGUCAGGUAGAGAAUACCAAGGCGCUUGAGAGAACUCGGGUGAAGGAACUAGGCAAAAUGGUGCCGUAACUUCGGGAGAAGGCACGCUGAUAUGUAGGUGAAGUCCCUCGCGGAUGGAGCUGAAAUCAGUCGAAGAUACCAGCUGGCUGCAACUGUUUAUUAAAAACACAGCACUGUGCAAACACGAAAGUGGACGUAUACGGUGUGACGCCUGCCCGGUGCCGGAAGGUUAAUUGAUGGGGUCAGCGCAAGCGAAGCUCUUGAUCGAAGCCCCGGUAAACGGCGGCCGUAACUAUAACGGUCCUAAGGUAGCGAAAUUCCUUGUCGGGUAAGUUCCGACCUGCACGAAUGGCGUAAUGAUGGCCAGGCUGUCUCCACCCGAGACUCAGUGAAAUUGAACUCGCUGUGAAGAUGCAGUGUACCCGCGGCAAGACGGAAAGACCCCGUGAACCUUUACUAUAGCUUGACACUGAACAUUGAGCCUUGAUGUGUAGGAUAGGUGGGAGGCUUAGAAGUGUGGACGCCAGUCUGCAUGGAGCCGACCUUGAAAUACCACCCUUUAAUGUUUGAUGUUCUAACGUUGACCCGUAAUCCGGGUUGCGGACAGUGUCUGGUGGGUAGUUUGACUGGGGCGGUCUCCUCCUAAAGAGUAACGGAGGAGCACGAAGGUUGGCUAAUCCUGGUCGGACAUCAGGAGGUUAGUGCAAUGGCAUAAGCCAGCUUGACUGCGAGCGUGACGGCGCGAGCAGGUGCGAAAGCAGGUCAUAGUGAUCCGGUGGUUCUGAAUGGAAGGGCCAUCGCUCAACGGAUAAAAGGUACUCCGGGGAUAACAGGCUGAUACCGCCCAAGAGUUCAUAUCGACGGCGGUGUUUGGCACCUCGAUGUCGGCUCAUCACAUCCUGGGGCUGAAGUAGGUCCCAAGGGUAUGGCUGUUCGCCAUUUAAAGUGGUACGCGAGCUGGGUUUAGAACGUCGUGAGACAGUUCGGUCCCUAUCUGCCGUGGGCGCUGGAGAACUGAGGGGGGCUGCUCCUAGUACGAGAGGACCGGAGUGGACGCAUCACUGGUGUUCGGGUUGUCAUGCCAAUGGCACUGCCCGGUAGCUAAAUGCGGAAGAGAUAAGUGCUGAAAGCAUCUAAGCACGAAACUUGCCCCGAGAUGAGUUCUCCCUGACUCCUUGAGAGUCCUGAAGGAACGUUGAAGACGACGACGUUGAUAGGCCGGGUGUGUAAGCGCAGCGAUGCGUUGAGCUAACCGGUACUAAUGAACCGUGAGGCUUAACCUUACAACGCCGAAGCUGUU
RNAcentral lists this ribosomal RNA (2930 nucleotides) under Escherichia coli. RNAcentral's name for it is "bacterial LSU rRNA". It matches the Rfam family "Bacterial large subunit ribosomal RNA". RNAcentral also lists the same sequence under 1 other name. Lineage: Bacteria; Pseudomonadati; Pseudomonadota; Gammaproteobacteria; Enterobacterales; Enterobacteriaceae. The record is from RNAcentral.